ACCUUGCCUUGCUGCCCGGGCC
Molecule: microRNA, 22 nt
Filed under: Homo sapiens (human)
Lineage: Eukaryota; Metazoa; Chordata; Mammalia; Primates; Hominidae
Description: hsa-miR-1915-5p
Source: miRBase by way of RNAcentral